RNAcentral lists this ribosomal RNA (443 nucleotides) under uncultured bacterium. RNAcentral's name for it is "partial 16S ribosomal RNA". It matches the Rfam family "Bacterial small subunit ribosomal RNA", at positions 338 to 795 of the family's 1533-position model. The record is from RNAcentral.
CCUACGGGAGGCAGCAGUGGGGAAUAUUGGACAAUGGGGGGAACCCUGAUCCAGCGACGCCGCGUGAGUGAAGAAGUAUUUCGGUAUGUAAAGCCCUAUCAGCAGGGAAGAAAGAAAUGACGGUACCUGACUAAGAAGCCUCGGCUAACUACGUGCCAGCAGCCGCGGUAAUACGGAGGGGGCAAGCGUUAUCCGGAUUUACUGGGUGUAAAGGGAGCGUAGACGGCGAUGCAAGUCUGAAGUGAAAGGCGGGGGCCCAACCCCUGGACUGCCUUGGAAACUGUAUGGCUGGAGUGCAGGAGAGGUAAGUGGAAUUCCUAGUGUAGCGGUGAAAUGCGUAGAUAUUAGGAGGAACACCAGUGGCGAAGGCGGCUUACUGGACUGUAACUGACGUUGAGGCUCGAAAGCGUGGGGAGCAAACAGGAUUAGAUACCCUGGUAGUC